AUGGGAGAGGUUCGAGAACUCCCUCUAUAAAAAACUAUAAAACG
Molecule: regulatory RNA element, 44 nt
Organism: Paenibacillus macerans
Lineage: Bacteria; Bacillati; Bacillota; Bacilli; Caryophanales; Paenibacillaceae
Rfam family: PreQ1 (pre queuosine) riboswitch aptamer
About the family: This family is a bacterial riboswitch that binds to the metabolite preQ1, an intermediate in the biosynthesis of the modified nucleoside queuosine from GTP.
Source: Rfam